This 119-nucleotide non-coding RNA is filed under the name Candidatus Brocadia. Its description in RNAcentral is "c-di-GMP sequence". It matches the Rfam family "c-di-GMP-I riboswitch aptamer". From Rfam's summary of the family: GEMM was predicted in a large-scale screen for bacterial structured RNA regulatory elements. Genes associated with GEMM are involved in a diverse array of functions, including chemotaxis regulation, signal transduction, secretion and chitin. Lineage: Bacteria; Pseudomonadati; Planctomycetota; Candidatus Brocadiia; Candidatus Brocadiales; Candidatus Brocadiaceae. The record is from RNAcentral.
UUCGAUAAAGGCAAACCCUGAGUGAUCAGGGGACGCAAAGUAGUGGAUCUUUAAACCUACACGGAAGUGGUUUAAAAAACCCAAAUGUGCAGGAAUGAAAGACAGCCUUACUGCCGAAG